RNAcentral lists this ribosomal RNA (440 nucleotides) under uncultured bacterium. Its description in RNAcentral is "SSU rRNA". It matches the Rfam family "Bacterial small subunit ribosomal RNA", at positions 26 to 518 of the family's 1533-position model. The record is from RNAcentral.
AGAACGAACGCUGGCGGCAGGCUUAACACAUGCAAGUCGAACGCCCCGCAAGGGGAGUGGCAGACGGGUGAGUAACGCGUGGGAAUCUACCCAACCCUACGGAAUAGCUCCGGGAAACUGGAAUUAAUACCGUAUACGCCCUUCGGGGAAAGAUUAUCGGGGAUGGAUGAGCCCGCGUUGGAUUAGCUAGUUGGUGGGGUAAAGGCCUACCAAGGCGACGAUCCAUAGCUGGUCUGAGAGGAUGACCAGCCACAUUGGGACUGAGACACGGCCCAAACUCCUACGGGAGGCAGCAGUGGGGAAUAUUGGACAAUGGGCGCAAGCCUGAUCCAGCCAUGCCGCGUGAGUGAUGAAGUCUUAGGAUUGUAAAGCUCUUUCAGUGGGGACGAUAAUGACGGUACCACAGAAGAAGCCCCGGCUAACUUCGUGCCAGCAGCCGC